This 311-nucleotide long non-coding RNA is filed under the name Elaeis guineensis (African oil palm). RNAcentral describes it as "long non-coding RNA (EGUI_LNC029767)". Lineage: Eukaryota; Viridiplantae; Streptophyta; Magnoliopsida; Arecales; Arecaceae. The record is from RNAcentral.
GCUGGUUGAACCGAUGGUGGAACGACCAGUUGCACCAGUGGAAGGAUUUCUGGCACCAGCGGCUGAGCUUGAUUGUCUACCUGGCUAGCCAUCUGUCGGGAGGCGGUGGCAUUGGAAAGCCGAGAAGAUGUUCAUCUUGAAGACAUAAAUGCAAACGUGGCCCUUUCUCUAUUUGUUGCUGCUGAAAUCGAUCGAGAUCGGAAGACGGACACCUGAUAACUUCGAGCGGGGAUGCUGGUGCUGAAGCCUGCAUAAUAAGUCCCAAAUUGGAGUUGUGGCUCUAGUGAGGACCCUCCGAUGCUCAAGUCAGA